CCCUUAGAUGUCCUGGGCCGCACGCGCGCUACACUGAGUGUCUGAGAUACGAGUCUGCCUGGUCCGGCAAGGUCUAGGUAAUCGCUAAAAGACACAUCAUGCUUGGGAUAGAUUAUUGCAAAUAUUAAUCUUGAACGAGGAAUUCCUAGUAAGCGCGAGUCAUCAGCUCGCAUUGAUUACGUCCCUGCCCUUUGUACACACCGCCCGUCGCACCUACCGAUUGAAUGGUUCGGUGAAGAUCUCGGACUUCGAUAUUUAUUCUUUAUUGAGUUUAUAUUGUGGGAAGUUAUCUAAACCUCAUCAUUUAGAGGAAGGUGAAGUCGUAACA
This 328-nucleotide ribosomal RNA is filed under the name uncultured eukaryote. RNAcentral's name for it is "partial 18S ribosomal RNA". It matches the Rfam family "Eukaryotic small subunit ribosomal RNA", at positions 1470 to 1796 of the family's 1831-position model. The record is from RNAcentral.